UGGGGAAUUUUUCGCAAUGAGUGAAAGCUUGACGAAGCAAUGCCACGUGGAGGAAGAAGGCCUUAGGGUUGUAAUCUCCUUUUCUCAUUGAAGAAGUUAUGACGGUAUUUGAGGAAUAAGCAUCGGCUAAUCUCGUGCCAGCAGCCGCGGUAAUACGAGAGAUGCGAGCGUUAUCCGGAAUUAUUGGGCGUAAAGAGUUUGUAGGUGGUUUAGUGUGUUUGGUGUUAAAUGUUAACGCUUAACGUUGAAUUUGCACUAAAAACUAUUAGACUUGAGUAUGAUAGGGGCAAAGGGAAUUCCCAGUGUAGCGGUGAAAUGCGUAGAUAUUGGGAAGAACACCAACGGCGAAAGCACUUUGCUAGGUUAAUACUGACACUGAGAAACGAAAGCUAAGGUAUCG
This 400-nucleotide ribosomal RNA is filed under the name uncultured bacterium. RNAcentral describes it as "bacterial SSU rRNA". It matches the Rfam family "Bacterial small subunit ribosomal RNA", at positions 355 to 770 of the family's 1533-position model. The record is from RNAcentral.